GACGAACGCUGGCGGCGUGCUUAACACAUGCAAGUCGAACGGAAAGGCCCUGCUUUUGUGGGGUGCUCGAGUGGCGAACGGGUGAGUAACACGUGAGUAACCUGCCCUUGACUUUGGGAUAACUUCAGGAAACUGGGGCUAAUACCGGAUAGGAGCUCCUGCUGCAUGGUGGGGGUUGGAAAGUUUCGGCGGUUGGGGAUGGACUCGCGGCUUAUCAGCUUGUUGGUGGGGUAGUGGCUUACCAAGGCUUUGACGGGUAGCCGGCCUGAGAGGGUGACCGGCAACAUUGGGACUGAGAUAAGGCCCAGACUCCUACGGGAGGCAGCAGUGGGGAAUAUUGCACAAUGGGAGGAAGCCUGAUGCAGCAACGCCGCGUGCGGGAUGACGGCCUUCGGGUUGUAAACCGCUUUCGCCUGUGACGAAGCGUGAGUGACGGUAAUGGGUAAAGAAGCACCGGCUAACUACGUG
Molecule: ribosomal RNA, 468 nt
Filed under: uncultured bacterium
Lineage: Bacteria
Description: partial 16S ribosomal RNA
Rfam family: Bacterial small subunit ribosomal RNA
Source: RNAcentral